AUUUAUAGUAUAGCAAUUAAAUUAGUUA
Molecule: ribosomal RNA, 28 nt
Filed under: Elephas maximus (Asiatic elephant)
Lineage: Eukaryota; Metazoa; Chordata; Mammalia; Proboscidea; Elephantidae
Description: partial 16S ribosomal RNA
Source: RNAcentral